UGAUGUGAGGGUGAUCUGUCUGUGAUAUCUGUCACCCCACUGACUGCCAGGGUUGAUUCAGCUGAUGUGGCUGUUUAGGCAGGUAUUCCCUUCCUCCCUCAAUACUCCAUGUGCGUCCCUCCUGAAGCUGCGCUCUCAGUCAAACAGGACGACCUGCCUGAUAGAGAUGGUCCCAUUCUAUGAUCUCAGGAU
This 192-nucleotide small nuclear RNA is filed under the name Corvus brachyrhynchos (American crow). Its description in RNAcentral is "7SK RNA". It matches the Rfam family "7SK RNA", at positions 1 to 192 of the family's 331-position model. Rfam says of the family: 7SK was discovered as an abundant small nuclear RNA in the mid-70s but a possible function has only recently been suggested. Lineage: Eukaryota; Metazoa; Chordata; Aves; Passeriformes; Corvidae. The record is from Rfam by way of RNAcentral.